This 3142-nucleotide unclassified non-coding RNA is filed under the name Hevea brasiliensis (rubber tree). The record is from RNAcentral. Lineage: Eukaryota; Viridiplantae; Streptophyta; Magnoliopsida; Malpighiales; Euphorbiaceae.
AUUUAAACUAACACGCUCUGUGAUAUCAAUCCUGAACUGGCACCAUUUCCUCUUAGUUUACUGUAACCCACCACCAGCAACCACCGUCCUAUCCUCUUCUCUGAUUCAAGCUGCAGCAAGGAAUCUAAUAACACUCUGCCCUUUAGUGUGAUCUCUCUGAAGCAGCCAAUUUUGCUACAUUUUGGAAAUUGGCUUUACAUGGUUUUCUUUAUUUUUUUCCUCACUUUUAACUCUGUUUUCUUUAACUUUUUUCCUGGAAAAUAAAAAAAAGGCAGGCAUUUUUUCUCGGGAAAAAAAGGAGGGAUUUUUAACAGAAAGGGGAAUGUGGGUAUGUGGAGGGAUUGCUUUGUAGAGUCAGCAAACCCACUUUCUGGCUUUCCCUUGCUUCCCCUAUUAAAAAAGUUGUCUUUCUAGGCAACCCUUCUCUUUGGUUUUGAUCUUUUCACUGAGGACGAAUUUUUUUUUAAAAAAUAGCUUUGUUUGGUAGAGGAAAAUGUACAGAAACUGACCUGGGUCGGUCCUUAAAAAUUGAAUUUUUUACUUUAAUUUUGUUUAUUUCCUUACAUGGGUUUAUUUAUUUAUCAUUUUAAAGGAGGAAUUUCGGGUUUAGAUUAAUGGGGAUUCCAGUUCAUGUCUUGUCACCAAAACGCGUUCCGUAUCCGUGUUGAUGAUCUCUUCCUGAAGGUGGUGAUGCUGGUGGUUGUUUGUUUAGUGUCGCAAUCAGAUCUGCAUUUUUGGCACUGCUCAAAACACACAGCCAGACAUUCUUGCUGAUCGAGUCAGAAACUUUGGUAGUAAAUUGAGAGAUUAUUGAAUUUAAGUGUGAAGACUAUGAGUUUUCUUGUUCUGAAGUGAACGCGGGAGCACGGCUUUGUCAUUUUUUGAGAGAUCAUUGGUAUCAAGGAAGUUGCAUUUAGAUUGAAUUGGAUUGGAUAUAAACUGUAGCUCUUGAAGUGUACGAGCAUGAUAUGCUUUUGAGGCAAAUUAGUUGGUAAUUUGGAGGUCUUGGGCCCGGCAGCUAAGACAUCGGGGUCGUAGUAAAUGGCUUCCAGAGAAGGGAGGCGUCGACGUGAUAAUCUUGUGCCUCUUGCUGCUUUGAUCAGCAGAGAAAUGAACGAGAAGAUGGAGAAGCCAACUGUUCGAUAUGGUUAUGCAGCCCAGUCUAGAAAAGGAGAAGAUUAUUUCCUGAUUAAGACUGACUGCCAGCGAGUCCCAGGGAAUUCGUCAUCCACAUUUUCUGUGUUUGCGAUCUUUGAUGGGCAUAAUGGAAAUGCUGCAGCAAUAUUUACUAGGGAAAAUCUAUUGAAUCAUGUUUUGGGUGCUCUUCCUCGAGGGCUUGGGCGAGAGGAGUGGCUUCAAGCUUUACCUCGAGCAUUAGUUGCUGGAUUUGUGAAAACUGACAAGGAGUUCCAGAGCAGAGGAGAAACAUCAGGUACUACAGCAACGUUUGUGAUAGUUGAUGGAUGGACAGUUACUGUUGCAUCUGUUGGAGACUCACGUUGUAUUUUAGAUGCCCAGGGUGCUGCCAUUUCCGCCUUAACUGUGGAUCAUAGGCUUGAAGAGAAUGUGGAAGAGAGGGAACGUGUGACUGCAAGUGGUGGGGAAGUUGGAAGGCUUAGCAUUGUUGGUGGUGCUGAGAUUGGUCCCCUCCGUUGUUGGCCAGGAGGUUUAUGCCUUUCUAGGUCAAUUGGAGACAUGGAUGUUGGAGAGUUUAUAGUUCCAAUUCCAUAUGUCAAGCAAGUGAAGUUAUCUAAUGCAGGUGGUAGGCUCAUAAUCGCUUCUGAUGGAAUCUGGGAUGCCCUUUCCUCGGAAAUGGCAGCAAAAUCUUGCCAUGGGUUGCCAGCUGAACUUGCUGCUAGACAAGUUGUGAAGGAAGCAUUAAGGACAAGGGGACUAAAGGAUGACACGACAUGCAUAGUUGUUGACGUAAUUCCUCCUGACAAUUCAAUACAGCCCUCAACUCCUCCCAAGAAGCGGAACAAGCUCAGAACCUUGUUAUUCAGGAAGAAAUCACAUGAUUCUGCCAAUAAGCUCUCCAAAAAGCUUUCUGCUGUAGGUAUAGUGGAAGAACUGUUUGAAGAGGGCUCUGCAAUGCUUGCUGAAAGACUGGGGAAUGAUGAUUCCACCACGCACUCAACAUCUGGUCUUUUCACAUGUGCUGUAUGUCAAGUUGACCUUGCUCCGAGUGAGGGCAUCUCUGUUCAUGCCGGUUCAAUCUUCUCCACCAGCUCCAAGCCCUGGCAGGGGCCUUUCCUUUGUGCUGAUUGCCGCAAUAAGAAGGAUGCCAUGGAAGGAAAACGCCCGAGUGGAGUUAAAGUGGCAUAACUCCAUUGUUUCCUUCAUUCUAUAUCCCAUACAUUUUUUUUAAACCACAACCGCAAUUUGUAGGCCAGGCAAUUUGAUUGAAUUUCACUACCAUGGUGCCACAAAUGUAUAUGUAAUAUUCAAAUAAAAGGAAAUGAGUUUUAGCAUUUAAAGUAUAGUUGGUUUAAAAACACCUGGCUAUUUGGUUUCUUUAGAAAAUAUAGGAUAGGCUCAAUAAAGCCCAAGGCUUUGAUUUUUUUUCCUAUUCAGAUAAAUUUCCCAAGCUUGCAAAGCAGGUUGUCUGUGCCAAGCAAUCGAAGAACAGAAAAGGUGACACCAUUCAGAGGAAGGUUUUAUGUGCUGGGAAUGGGGAUCCAUUCCGCCGUUAUAGGGAAGAGAGGAGCUGCUGUUUCUGUCACGGGGAUGGAAAUGAUGCAUUCAUAUGGUUGCUGAGGCUGAAACUUAAAAAGGACGAUCAAAUUCAGAGCUGCAAUUUCAAAGGUGGGACUAGUAAUGGUGCCUACAUAUUCAUUACAGGGUUACGACAGAUUAGCUAGAUUCCCCUCCUUUUCUCUCUUGUGUUUUAAAGAACAAGGAAGACAAGAAGCAAGAUAUAUUUUACAUGUUAGCUGUCUUGUAUAUUCUGAUAGAUCCUGAAACUAGAUGUUCUAUUGUGGGAAAUAAGGCUUCUUAUCAGUAGUGACAUUUCAAUUAUGCUUUUAACAGUCCAUAUGCAAGGGGCUUUUUGGCUUUUUGCCAAACUAUGGGGAAAAACAUAUUGCUCAAACAUGUGUGCAUGGAAAAAUAAUUUACGAACCAAGGUGAAUUUGGCUAUGGC